RNAcentral lists this long non-coding RNA (280 nucleotides) under Musa acuminata (dwarf banana). RNAcentral's name for it is "long non-coding RNA (MACU_LNC007374)". Lineage: Eukaryota; Viridiplantae; Streptophyta; Magnoliopsida; Zingiberales; Musaceae. The record is from RNAcentral.
GAUAAUUUGCUGGAAUGUUCGUGGACUUAAUAAGCCUGAAAAAUGUCAGGAGCUCAACAGAAUAAUCAAGUAUGCCGCAUGUGAUAUUGCUAUUCUCGUAGAAACAAAAAUUAAAAAAUCGCUCGUUCUUGCUCAAAAGAAUUUAAUAUGGCCGGACGCAGAACUGUUUACCAAUGACUCUAGUAAAACAUUUGGUAGAAUAUGGGUCUUAUGGCAUCCUAACUCCAUUAAUGCUUGGUUUAUUUCUGCUACCGAUCAAUUCAUUCAUCUUAAGGUGGAG